GUGAGAAGUCUCUCCCAAGCAUGUCUGCAAUGCAAGGAUGAUAUGUGCAUGAUAUGCAUAUGAUGCGGAUGCUAUUUUAUCAUGAAUGAUCCUGAAAAGGAUAUGCACAUGCGAGUUAACUUUUUUCAUGCAUUAUUAUUUUUUUGGAAAAUAAACAUGCUAUGAUGCAAAUGAUGGAGCCAAGACUGGCAGGCUGUGCAUCUC
Molecule: long non-coding RNA, 204 nt
Filed under: Lathyrus oleraceus (garden pea)
Lineage: Eukaryota; Viridiplantae; Streptophyta; Magnoliopsida; Fabales; Fabaceae
Description: Pisum sativum (pea) long non-coding RNA (PSAT_LNC042129)
Source: RNAcentral